AACGAACGCUGGCGGCAGGCCUAACACAUGCAAGUCGAGCGAGGACUUCGGUCCUAGCGGCGGACGGGUGAGUAACGCGUGGGAACGUGCCCUUUGCUUCGGAAUAGCCCUGGGAAACUGGGAGUAAUACCGGAUGAGCCCUUUGGGGGAAAGAUGUAUCGGCCAAGGAUGGGCCGGCGUUGGAUUAGGUAGUUGUUGGGGUAAUGGCCUACCAAGCCGACGAUCCAUAGCUGGUUUGAGAGGAUGAUCAGCCACACUGGGACUGAGACACGGCCCAGAAUCCUCCGGGAGGCAGGAGUGGGGAAUCUUAGAAAAUGGGGGAAACCAUGAUCGAGCCAUGCCGCGUGAGCGAUGAAGGCCUUAGGGUUGUAAAGCUCUUUCAGCUGGGAAGAUAAUGACGGUACCAGCAGAAGAAGCCCCGGCUAACUCCGUG
Molecule: ribosomal RNA, 433 nt
Filed under: uncultured bacterium
Lineage: Bacteria
Description: partial 16S ribosomal RNA
Rfam family: Bacterial small subunit ribosomal RNA
Source: RNAcentral